This 253-nucleotide ribosomal RNA is filed under the name uncultured bacterium. RNAcentral's name for it is "partial 16S ribosomal RNA". It matches the Rfam family "Bacterial small subunit ribosomal RNA", at positions 524 to 776 of the family's 1533-position model. The record is from RNAcentral.
UACGUAGGGGGCUAGCGUUGUCCGGAUUUAUUGGGCGUAAAGAGCGUGUAGGCGGCCAGGUAGGUCUGCUGUGAAAACUCGAGGCUCAACCUCGAGACGUCGGCGGAAACCAUCUGGCUAGAGUCCGGAAGAGGAGAGUGGAAUUCCCGGUGUAGCGGUGAAAUGCGUAGAUAUCGGGAAGAACACCAAUGGCGAAAGCACUCUGCUGGGCCGAAACUGACACUGAGAGACGAAAGCUAGGGGAGCGAAUGGG